CAUGUAGGCGGAUUGAUAAGUUUGAAGUGAAAUCCUAUAGCUUAACUAUAGAACUGCUUUGAAAACUGUUAAUCUAGAAUGUGGGAGAGGUAGAUGGAAUUUCUGGUGUAGGGUAAAAUCCGUAGAGAUCAGAAGGAAUACCGAUUGCGAAGGCGAUCUACUGGAACAUUAUUGACGCCGAGAUGCGAAAGCGUGGGGAGCAAACA
This 206-nucleotide ribosomal RNA is filed under the name uncultured bacterium. RNAcentral's name for it is "partial 16S ribosomal RNA". It matches the Rfam family "Bacterial small subunit ribosomal RNA", at positions 568 to 774 of the family's 1533-position model. The record is from RNAcentral.